UACGUAGGCAGCAAGCGUUGUUCGGAGUUACUGGGCGUAAAGGGUGUGUAGGCGGUCUUCUAAGUUUGGUGUGAAACCUCCAGGCUCAACCUGGAGACGCCACCCGAUACUGCUGUGACUAGAGUCCGGUAGGGGAGCGUGGAAUUCCUGGUGUAGCGGUGAAAUGCGCAGAUAUCAGGAGGAACACCAGCGGCGAAGGCGGCGCUCUGGGCCGGAACUGACGCUGAGGAGCGAAAGCGUGGGUAGCAAACAGG
RNAcentral lists this ribosomal RNA (254 nucleotides) under uncultured bacterium. Its description in RNAcentral is "partial 16S ribosomal RNA". It matches the Rfam family "Bacterial small subunit ribosomal RNA", at positions 524 to 776 of the family's 1533-position model. The record is from RNAcentral.